This 707-nucleotide long non-coding RNA is filed under the name Physcomitrium patens. Its description in RNAcentral is "long non-coding RNA (PPAT_LNC001499)". The record is from RNAcentral. Lineage: Eukaryota; Viridiplantae; Streptophyta; Bryopsida; Funariales; Funariaceae.
AAAUGAAAGUUUUGGAAUUUAUGGAGCAUUGAACACAUUUAAUAUAUUGAUCCAACCUACAUUAUUUCAAUAAGUUUAAAAUAUCUUUGAAAGAACAUUUGAGAGUACAGUUUCUCUCUCUAAGCAAAAUACAGAAUGCACUCUAAGUGUUAUCAAUUAUCUCCUCCUUUGACAAGGAUUUAAUUAUCAAUAAUAGAGCAUCAAAGCAUUUUUCAGGUAAUCAAGAAUUUUUUUUGAACUUUAAAAAACCGUAAUACAUGCAUACCAUAGCCAUGGCUAAUGGCAAAAUUCAUGCAGUGAAAGGUCAAAGAAACAUAAUGAAAUAGACUUAAAUGAUGAAAUAAAACUUAGUGAAAUUUUCUAUGUGCUAAGCUUAAAACAGAAUCUAAUCUUGGUGCAUCAAUGUGAGGAAUAACAAUUAAGUGUUGAUCUUUGAGAAGGAAAGAUGCAUAGCUAUAUCUAAUUCAUAACUUCAAAAAAUCACCACACUAGCCAUUGAGAUGCAAAAUCUCAAUUCUAUAAACUAAAUCUGGAUAACAAAUCUUUAAUACAAGAUAAAAAUUCAAUUCAUUAUGCCAAAACAAAAUUUAACUCAAAAAUAUUGGCUGUAAACUCGAAUAAAGUAUUUUCAAAGAACACUGUAGAGCUGGCUAAUAAUGACAGAGUAGGGCGGGAUGAUCUGCCACCAACGAGGUCUAGCUCUAAAU